GAAGCGGCUUAAAUCACCGUCAGGUCGAAUACCUACACUGGGGUUUGUUGGUCAAAAAUCUUAUGCCGAAGCUUUAUUUGAUGAUCCUGCUAGGGGAAGGGAGAGCCGUGUAGUAUAUGCCAACGAAGUUGGGAAUGGUUGGCUUUAUGAAAGUCUUAUUGUUAAGCUGAAAUGCUUCCAAGCUUUUCCCGAGUUUCAAAAAGCGGUUCUUGAAAAAGGUUCUAAGGAUAUUGUAGUAAAGGAAGGUGGUGGUAGAAUGGUCGUAGUCUCAUUCAAAUCAACUGACCAUCUUAAGGAGAAUCAAGCCUUACUCCACGACUGUCUGAAGGAUUGGUGUGAGUCUGUAUCCUUAUGGGGGCAGAAUGGUUACAUUGAACAAGAACGAGGAGUAUGGUUAAGCUGCUAUGGUGUGCCACUCAAUCUUUGGAACAACGACACUUUUAUGAAGCUCGGAAGGUUAUGGGGGGUGGUACUCCAAAUUGAUGAUGAAACUUCUAAUCAAACAUCAUUCAGGUGUGGGAGAAUUAGAAUUGCAACUAAUUUUAUGGAUCCCAUUAAUAUAGUUGUUCUGGUGAAGUGCAAAGACAGAAGUUACCCGGUUUGAAUCUGUGAGGAGCAAAUCGUCAUUACCAGGGUGGUGAAUGAGGUUUGUAUGUGCACUAUGCAAGAGUGUCUUAGCUCUAACAUGCAUGAGAAACAGGAAGAAGAGGUGGGUGAUAGCCUGAAGGAAGAUGGUGAUGAUGUGGAUGCUGUCAUCCAUAUAGAUGUGGCAAGUGAAGAUAAGGUGGUAACCAUACAAAGGACAGAGUUGGUUAAUGGUGGGUCCAAUAAGGUGGAUGGAAUGAUAAAUGUUUCAGAUCCAUCUUUGGUGGUGGAAACCAUGAGUAGAGAUAUGGGGAACACAAAUUGGAAUGGGGUGUGUGUAGUUAAUGUGGUGGCUGGCAGCCCCUCUAAUAAUCAGAAGAGUGAUUGGGGCAAUUUAGGUUAAGAGGUAGGGGUUUCCACGAGUAGGUAUAUGAAAAGUCUUAGUGGACCAUUGAUUGUUGGGCCUGGUAUAAGGUUCCAGGUUAUUCUGAAGGAGGCUCAAUUGGGCAAAGUUAUUGAUAAGCCUAAUUCAGAUACUGAGGUUGUGGAGCAGGCCCAUAACUGGAUGGAAAUUUCUCAAACCCAGGAGUUGGACCAUCUUAUCUCUGAUCCACAGCCCAUUGAUUGUGUUGGCACUCUUGGGGGAGAACCAAGUAGGUGUGUCAUCUUCAUCCUAGAGCCAACAUCCUCAAGAGAAAAACCAUAGUUGCUUAGAAAGGAUUCAGAAUGAGGAUUGGUAGGGAUUAUCGACUUCAAAGGAGGGGCUUAUAGAGUGGUGGUUCACUGGCUAUGAAGAAAUGGGUUAAAGGUCUGGUGUUCAAAGUUGCUGUUUCAGUGUUUUCACGCUCAAAAUCGGAAGGUCAGAGCUCACACAGUGAUGAUCCUAUCAUGGCAGAGGCAAGGGAAACAAUUAAUAUGGGGAAAGCUUUGGGCAUUAACUUCGAUGGAUCUGAAGAGGAAUCCUUGAGGAAAAUUAUAAGGAUGGAGGAAGAUGAUGCAAGGAAAGCCGCUUGUAGGGAAGGUGGUGCAUCUGUGUAGGGUGUUCCACUUGGAGGUUGGGGAGUGUUCACUGUUCUUAAUGAAACUCUUAUCUUGGAAUAUAAAGGGUCUUGGAGGACCUAGCAAAAGGAGGAAAAUUAGAACAUUACUUAAAGAAAGAAAUAUUGACGUGGUAUUUUUGCAAGAAACAAAGAAAUCUGAACUCUCAUUUGAGGUAGUUAGAUCUAUUUGGCCAGUUGAAGACAUGGACUAUAUGUCAGUUGAUGCAGCUGGGCUGGCAAGGGGAAUUCUGUGUAUUUGGAAGCCUUCUGUGUUCUCACUUUCCGAGUGCUGCUGCUCUUGAAGCUUCACCCGUCUAUCAGGUAGACAGUUCAUGUGGAGCAACUCAAGUGAUAAGGGAAGAUGGAGUAGAAUUGAUAGGAUUUUGUUAUCUGUAGAGUGGUUGGAAAGAUUCAAAUUCAGCCUAUGGGGCCUUCCUAGAGAAGUGUCCGAUCAUAGUCCACUUUUAUUAAUGCAGGAUGGUCGGGACUGGGGUCCAAGACCAUUUCGAUUUUUGAAUGCUUGGACUUUGCAUCAGUAGUUUCAAUCGGUGGUGAAGAAGUCCUGGGAGGAGGUUGGUGUACCAGGUUGGGCUGGUUUUGUGAUCCAAGCUAAAAUCAGGAACCUUAGAUCGGCCUUAAAAAGAUAGAAUGCAGAGGUUUUUGAAAAUGUCCACCUUGCUCUCAAGUCAGCAGAGGAGAAGCUUCAUAGUCUUGACCUGCUAGCCGAAUCUAGGGACCAUGAUGACUCUCAGGUUGGCUGCAGGAGAGACCUUAGAAAGGAGAUGUGGGCCUUAAAUAGGAAGAUUGAAUGGAUAUGGCUUCAAAAAUCCAGAUUGGACUGGUGCAUGAAAGAUGAUAAGAAUACAAGAUUCUUUCAUGUAGUGGCAUCAAAGAGGCAAAACAGAAAUUUGUUGAGUUCAAUUUCAGUGGGAGGGGUGCUCCAUGAGGAACCAAGUAGAGUGAAAGAAGAAAUAUUCCUGCAUUUUAAAAGAUUAGUCAAGCAGGCCAAAGUUGUCAAGGUAUUUCAACUCUAUUGGUCAUGAUGGGGCUAUUGUUGGUCUUGAAGCAGAGUUUUCUGAAGAGGAAGUGUGGGCAGCUAUUAAAAGUUGUGAUGGAAAUAAGGCCCCUGGGCCAAAUGGGCUUAAUUUGAUGUGUUUCAAAAAAUGUUGGCAGAUUUUUAAAGCUGAUGUUCUACAAUUUUUUAAGGAAUUCUAUGACAAGGGAAAGUUGGCUGGUGGGGUUAAUAGCUCCUUCAUUACACUGAUCCCAAAAGUUGAUGGCCCAGCUACUAUUUAAGAUUAUAGGCCAAUUAGCUUGAUAGGAUCUUUAUACAAAAUCCUUGCUAAAGUCUUGACAAGUAAGCUGAAGCUAGUGGUUCCUAGACUGAUUGUGGAGGCUCAAUCUGCUUUCCUUGGGGGUAGAAACAUUAUGGAUGGGGUUUUAAUUGCAAAUGAAGUUGCUGAUUGGUGGAAGAAGAAUAGGGCAAAAGGUUUGAUUUUUAAGCUGGAUUUCGAAAAAGCGUUUGAUUCAGUUAAUUGGGAAUGCCUUAUGUCUAUGUUGAUAGUGUUCGGUAUUGGGGCUUGGUGGAGAAAGUGGAUUAAGGAAUGCUUGCAUUCUUCUUGAAUUUUAGUUUUGGUGAAUCGCUCUCCAACAGUUGAAUUUGUCCCUAAAAAAGGUCUCAGGCAAGGGGAUCCCUUGUCACCUUUCCUUUUCAAUGUUGUUGCUGAGGGGUUGAAUGUUUUAUUGCAAAGGGCUUUGUCAAGUGGUCUUAUCAAGGGGGUUGUUAUAGGCCACGGUGAUUCGAUAUCAACUAUAUCACAUCUACAAUUCGCAGAUGACACUAUAAUUUUUUGUGAGGCUGUUUGGGAGGAAGUUUUGACAAUAAAACGAAUUUUGAGAUGUUUCCAGUUAGUUUCUGGUCUGAAGAUUAAUUUCUCCAAAAGUCUUGUGAGUGGAAUUGGUGUGCCUGAUCAGCUGGUUGAGGAGUUUGCUAACAGACUUUAUUGCAAAAGCAAACACCUACCCUUUCCAUACCUUGGUUUGCCUUUGGGUGCCAAUCCAAGAUUGAGAAAAGCUUGGAGUCCAGUUGUUGAUAAGGUUAGAGGCAAAUUGGCAUCCUGGAAGAGAAAGCUACUAUCAUUUGGGGGGAGGCUAACUCUAAUUAAAUUAGUCUUGUCUUGUGUCCCCAUUUAUUAUCUUUCUAUCUUUAAGAUGCCUAUUUCUGUGGUUAAAGAAGUUGAAGGGCUGCAAGCAUCUUUUUUGCGGGGUGGAUUUGAUUUGAAAAAAAAGAUUCACUUGGUUAAAUGGGCUGAGGUGUCUAAAAGUAAAGAUGAAGGUGGGCUUGGGGUUAGGAAAAUACAUGAGGUGAAUGAUUGUUUGUUGGCUAAAUGGUGGUGGAGGUAUGGUGUUGAGGAUAAUGCACUUUGGAAGAAAGUUAUCUGCAGUAGGAAUCAACCAGCUGGUGGGAGGUGGUUGCCUAAUUUUACUGUUACAGUUAAUCUUUCAGUAGUAUGGGGGGUUAUUCUUAGUAUAUCCCAAUCAAAUCCAAAACUUCUGAAUCUUUUUUGGGAAAACACUCAAAUUGUGGUUGGGGAUGGGGCCAGAGUGAGCUUCUGGUUGGAUCAGUGGCUUGGGACUCAAUGUUUAAAAUAUAACUUCCCCUGACUAUUCAGUUUGUUAAAUGAAAAGGGCAUCUCUCUAAAGUUGUUGGUUGAAAGAAAUCGCUGCUUCAAAGGUUAGAACCUUAAUUUUCGUAGAGCUUUAUUUGCCUGGGAGGUUGAGGAGUUGGACAGAUUAUACACCAUACUGAACCAGUCUCUGAUUCGAACCUGCAAUAAGUUGGAUCAAUGGAAAUGGUUGCCAUGCUCAUCAGGUCAAUUUAGCUACUCAUCUCUUUAUCAUCUGCUACUGUCUUCUGGUUCUAUGGGGGUAUCAAAAAUGUUGUGGUCUAAUGUCUCUCCUCCAAAAGUUCAGUUCCUCGGGUGGUUGGUCUGGAAGGGGAAGUUAAAGACUUUAGUGUUCCGUAAUAGAAUUGGUGUUUUGGGUCAUAUUGUUUCUGUGAAUUGUGUGUUCUGUCGGUCUCAUGUGGAAAUAGUAUCUCAUGUCAUGCUUUUGUGCCCCUAUGUUUGGAAAAUCUGGUCUGAUCUAUUGAAUUGGUGGGGGCUGCAAUGGAUUGUACCUACUACAGUGGCGGAUCUUUUUCUCUGGUGGAGUGGAUUUAAAUGGAGGACGCUUGAGAACAAAAUAUGGAGAGCAAUGCCUUUGGCAAUUAUGUGGUAUAUCUGGAGGUUUAGAAAUGAAGUUGUGUUGAAUGGAAAGGAAGCUGUGUUGGGAGAGAUUUGUGAAUUAAUUAAGUUGAGAAUCAUUUUUUGGGUGAAAGCUCACACCAUGGGUUGCUCUUACACAGUGCAGGAUUUCAUGUCUAACCCGCAACAUAUUAGAAAUGGAGUUUAGGCGGUGCUGGGGAGUUCUGUUUGGUUUGUGUCCAGUUGUUGGCACAUGUUCUAUUUUGGUGAGCUGCUGUGUUUCAGGCUGUAGAGGUUCAAUGGUGUGUUGGGAUGAUCUUGGCUGUAGAGAUGCUAUGUUUCAAGGUGUAGAGGUUCAAUGGCGUGUUGUGUCCAGUUGCUGGUUCGGUUGGGUGUUCCUUUGUGUAUUAAUACUGCUAUAGUUGGCUUUCUGGGUUCAGUUCCAUUAUAUUGGCAGCAUGUUGGGAUGAUCUUGGUUUGUUGCUUCUGCUGGAAUUGGUUUAAUGGGCUUAGAACCAUCUCAUUGGCAGCAGGUAUUCAUUUCUUGUUUUCAUCUCCAAUUUGGGUCUGAUUCGGUGUUGCCCCUAAGGUAGUGGUGUUGGGUUGUUCUGUUGGUUUUGUAUCUGGCUACUGGCAGUUGUUUUGGUUUUGGUGAGCUGAUGAUGUUUGCUGAUGUAGUGUCUUGGUGUUGAAAACAGAGGUUAACUUGGUGGGCUGCUGCUGAGUGUGCUGAGUGUGUUCUGAUGGUGUUUUGUUUUGCCUUGUGCUUCUCUUUUUUUUUUUUGGCUUCGGUUGGUUUCUCACCAACUCUUGAUGGUGUGCUAGUAAGGGAUUGGGUGGUCAUAUUGGUGCCAACUUAAUUGGGAUUGAUAUGUCUCACUAUGAUGCUUUUUGCACCCAUCCCUCUUUUUUUCUUUUUUUGUUGUCAUAAAUUCUUUGUUUCAUCAAUAAAA
This is a non-coding RNA of Camellia sinensis, 5823 nucleotides long. NCBI's taxonomy places the organism in Eukaryota, Viridiplantae, Streptophyta, Magnoliopsida, Ericales, Theaceae. The record is from RefSeq and is a predicted model, not a curated record.